AGAGUUUGAUCAUGGCUCAGGACGAACGCUGGCGGCGUGCCUAAUACAUGCAAGUAGAACGCUGACUACUUUAGCUUGCUAGAGUAGAAGGAGUUGCGAACGGGUGAGUAACGCGUAGGUAACCUGCCUACUAGCGGGGGAUAACUAUUGGAAACGAUAGCUAAUACCGCAUAACAGUGUUUAACACAUGUUAGAUGCUUGAAAGAUGCAAAUGCAUCACUAGUAGAUGGACCUGCGUUGUAUUAGCUAGUUGGUGGGGUAACGGCCUACCAAGGCGACGAUACAUAGCCGACCUGAGAGGGUGAUCGGCCACACUGGGACUGUGACACGGCCCAGACUCCUGCGGGAGGCAGCAGUAGGGAAUCUUCGGCAAUGGGGGCAACCCUGACCGAGCAACGCCGCGUGAGUGAAGAAGGUUUUCGGAUCGUAAAGCUCUGUUGUAAGAGAAGAACGUGUGUGAGAGUGGAAAGUUCACACAGUGACGGUAACUUACCAGAAAGGGACGGCUAACUACGUGCCAGCAGCCGCGGUAAUACGUAGGUCCCGAGCGUUGUCCGGAUUUAUUGGGCGUAAAGCGAGCGCAGGCGGUUUAAUAAGUCUGAAGUUAAAGGCAGUGGCUUAACCAUUGUUCGCUUUGGAAACUGUUAAACUUGAGUGCAGAAGGGGAGAGUGGAAUUCCAUGUGUAGCGGUGAAAUGCGUAGAUAUAUGGAGGAACACCGGUGGCGAAAGCGGCUCUCUGGUCUGUAACUGACGCUGAGGCUCGAAAGCGUGGGGAGCAAACAGGAUUGGAUACCCUGGU
This 800-nucleotide ribosomal RNA is filed under the name uncultured bacterium. RNAcentral describes it as "bacterial SSU rRNA". It matches the Rfam family "Bacterial small subunit ribosomal RNA", at positions 8 to 791 of the family's 1533-position model. The record is from RNAcentral.